ACUCAAAGGAAUAGACGGGGGCCCGCACAAGCGGUGGAGCAUGUGGUUCAAUUCGACGCAACGCGAAGAACCUUACCUGGGCUCGAAGCGUAGUGGACCGGGGUGGAAACAUCCUUUUCUCGCAAGAGACUGCUACGUAGGUGCUGCAUGGCUGUCGUCAGCUCGUGUCGUGAGAUGUUGGGUUAAGUCCCGCAACGAGCGCAACCCUUAUUGCCAGUUGCUAACGCGUGAUGGCGAGCACUCUGGCGAAACUGCCCCGGAUAACGGGGAGGAAGGUGGGGAUGACGUCAAGUCCUCAUGGCCUUUAUGUCCAGGGCUACACACGUGCUACAAUGGUCGGUACAAACUGUCGCAAACCCGCGAGGGGGAGCUAAUCGGAAAAAGCCGGCCUCAGUUCGGAUUGGAGUCUGCAACUCGACUCCAUGAAGCUGGAAUCGCUAGUAAUCGCGGAUCAGAACGCCGCGGUGAAUACGUUCCCGGGCCUUGCACACACCGCCCGU
RNAcentral lists this ribosomal RNA (500 nucleotides) under uncultured bacterium. RNAcentral describes it as "partial 16S ribosomal RNA". It matches the Rfam family "Bacterial small subunit ribosomal RNA", at positions 899 to 1397 of the family's 1533-position model. The record is from RNAcentral.